UAUACAAAGGUAUUGAAAUAAGAUUUUAAAUGAGUGCUAWGAGARUGAUUGAACAAUUAUAGGCUUUCUUUAGUUAAAUAMUUAWAUUUAAUUUUUUUUAGUGCAAAAGCAAAAAUUAAMUUUAGGGACAAGAAGACCCUAUGAAUUUUAAUUUAAUUUAUAAUUUGAAAUUUUAAAUUAAAUUUGAUUGGGGCGAUGGAAAAAGAAUGAGUAUCUUUUUUAGUUWUAAAAAUUGGYUCCGYUUUWAACGAUUAAAUGAGAAAAAUACUCUAGGGA
Molecule: ribosomal RNA, 276 nt
Filed under: Ixodes persulcatus (taiga tick)
Lineage: Eukaryota; Metazoa; Arthropoda; Arachnida; Ixodida; Ixodidae
Description: partial large subunit ribosomal RNA
Source: RNAcentral